AAAAACCCAGGUGGUGUGAGAUGGAUCCGCGUCUGAUUAGCCAGUUGGCGGGGUAACGGCCCACCAAAGCGACGAUCAGUAGCCGACCUGAGAGGGUGACCGGCCACAUUGGGACUGAGACACGGCCCAAACUCCUACGGGAGGCAGCAGUGGGGAAUAUUGCACAAUGGGCGAAAGCCUGAUGCAGCGACGCCGCGUGAGUGAAGAAGUAUCUCGGUAUGUAAAGCUCUAUCAGCAGGGAAGAAAAUGACGGUACCUGACUAAGAAGCCCCGGCUAACUACGUGCCAGCAGCCGCGGUAAUACGUAGGGGGCAAGCGUUAUCCGGAUUUACUGGGUGUAAAGGGAGCGUAGACGGCGACGCAAGUCUGGAGUGAAAGCCCGGGGCCCAACCCCGGGACUGCUUUGGAAACUGUGCUGCUGGAGUGCAGGAGAGGUAAGUGGAAUUCCUAGUGUAGCGGUGAAAUGCGUAGAUAUUAGGAGGAACACCAGUGGCGAAGGCGGCUUACUGGACUGUAACUGACGUUGAGGCUCGAAAGCGUGGGGAGCAAACAGGAUUAGAUACCCUGGUAGUCCACGCCGUAAGCGAUGAAUGCUAGGUGUCGGGGGGCAAAGC
RNAcentral lists this ribosomal RNA (614 nucleotides) under uncultured bacterium. Its description in RNAcentral is "bacterial SSU rRNA". It matches the Rfam family "Bacterial small subunit ribosomal RNA", at positions 202 to 836 of the family's 1533-position model. The record is from RNAcentral.